GUAGUACAGUGAUUAGUACUCCACGUUGUGACCGUGUCGACGCUGGUUCGAUUCCAGCC
RNAcentral lists this transfer RNA (59 nucleotides) under Pristionchus pacificus. It matches the Rfam family "tRNA", at positions 7 to 64 of the family's 71-position model. From Rfam's summary of the family: Transfer RNA (tRNA) molecules are approximately 80 nucleotides in length. Their secondary structure includes four short double-helical elements and three loops (D, anti-codon, and T loops). Further hydrogen bonds mediate the characteristic L-shaped molecular structure. tRNAs have two regions of fundamental functional importance: the anti-codon, which is responsible for specific mRNA codon recognition, and the 3' end, to which the tRNAs corresponding amino acid is attached (by aminoacyl-tRNA synthetases). tRNAs cope with the degeneracy of the genetic code in two manners: having more than one tRNA (with a specific anti-codon) for a particular amino acid; and 'wobble' base-pairing, i.e. permitting non-standard base-pairing at the 3rd anti-codon position. Lineage: Eukaryota; Metazoa; Nematoda; Chromadorea; Rhabditida; Neodiplogasteridae. The record is from Rfam by way of RNAcentral.